Molecule: transfer RNA, 68 nt
Filed under: bovine gut metagenome
Also listed under: 1 other name
Rfam family: tRNA
About the family: Transfer RNA (tRNA) molecules are approximately 80 nucleotides in length. Their secondary structure includes four short double-helical elements and three loops (D, anti-codon, and T loops). Further hydrogen bonds mediate the characteristic L-shaped molecular structure. tRNAs have two regions of fundamental functional importance: the anti-codon, which is responsible for specific mRNA codon recognition, and the 3' end, to which the tRNAs corresponding amino acid is attached (by aminoacyl-tRNA synthetases). tRNAs cope with the degeneracy of the genetic code in two manners: having more than one tRNA (with a specific anti-codon) for a particular amino acid; and 'wobble' base-pairing, i.e. permitting non-standard base-pairing at the 3rd anti-codon position.
Source: RNAcentral
CAGGUGUAGUUUAAUGGCAGAACUUCAGCUUCCCAAGCUGAUCGCGUGGGUUCGAUUCCCAUCACCUG